Long non-coding RNA from Lagopus muta (rock ptarmigan), 1875 nucleotides. RefSeq lists it as uncharacterized. The transcript is spliced from 3 exons. The record is from RefSeq and is a predicted model, not a curated record. Lineage: Eukaryota; Metazoa; Chordata; Aves; Galliformes; Phasianidae.
GAAACGAAGUGGUUGGCGCAGAGUCCACCAGAUUCUCAGUCACAAGAAGAGGACAGUUCAGUUCCAGGAUUCUGAGUAAAUCAGUAUGACUGAUAAAGAGAACAGAUCCUGAAAAAUGAAGCAUCACCCAGCUGUUAUAUCCCUGCCAUCACCCAGCUCUCCUGGUCUGCAGUUGUCCAACAGGAAGGACAUUGAGCUCCAGAUCUUAGUUCAGGCAAAUGAAGAUUCAGUAAGAAAGUCUUAAAAGUUCAUGCCGAAUUUGGGCCUACUGGAUUUUCUAAUGGCUUUGGACAGCAUUUUGUAACCUCUGCAAUCCUGGAUGGAGCAGAACAGUGAAUCCAGAACAACUACUGAAUGUAAGAAAAAUAUUACUAAUAGAUCCAGAGACGCAUUUGUCAGUGAUAGAUGCCACCAGUAUUAUUUUAUUCCAAUUCAGCAAAAUUAAAUCUUAGUUAACAAGUUAAAAAAAUGGUAUUUGGACUGAAAUAAUGAUGAUAAAUGCAAUCCAAGCGCUCUUCUGAGAAAGGAGUAUGGAGUAUAAAAUAAUAAAUAUUCUACACAAUCUCUGUAGGGUUUUUUCCUACACUUAGAAGUGCCCAGAAACAAAAGACUGUGUACUACUUCUUUCUGAACUAUCUGCAAAUCAUGCAUCUCUGCCAGAAAUUCACCUCUUUGCAUAGCUAAGCCUUUCCAUUAAUGUCUGUCUCUUUGCUGGCAUGGUGGCUGUGCCUUAUAAAAGCACCAAGCAGAAUGAGAAGCACGUCUGCUUGACCCUAUAGUCUAUGCAGAGUUAAGGUCUGCCAUGCCUGAUUGCUCAUUAAUAUUGUACCUUUAUGGCAGCAAGCCUCCUGGCUGACUGGUGAAAAGAUUGUUAGAGGUGCUUCCUGAGGCCAGAGCCAAGAAACAGAGUGGGACAGGUGGAGGUCUGAAAUAAGGACACUUGGAGUCCAUGAAGCGAAAGCCGGUCCUAGCCAAGAUGUGAUCUUAGCCAGUGAACUUGUAGAUGUACAUGGAUUUAGCAGCAGGUAGCCACAGCUUAUGCUGAUAUAGUGUACAGUGCUCAAAGAAACUCAUUUGGUUGAUUUUACUGAAGAAAUUCAUAAAAUGUGCAAAUGCUCUGAGGCGUGCUCAUUUUUGACUGCUGCAAUUCAUAAAAAUUCAUUGCUGUUUCCAGUUCCCAUUUGCUAGCUUUUCCUCUCUGUCUGUGGCCUGUAUGGAGCCACUCUUGCAUACAGUGUCCCUCUCCUGAACAAGAAGUUUUUACCAAAUGUGGUAAUUUAUAAAGAUCAGUUUAACACCCAACAUAAAGGAGUAAGACUGGGACUUGUAAGCACCACUAUCUGAAUAUAUUACUCUUUCCAGAAGUUGGCUUACAUGUAACAGUUUUGGAUUGACCAAACUGUAGAUCUAUAAUUUUAUUUUUUUGCAUAGUAUUUCUUAUGUCCUUGCUCUGAUAGCAGGAUUAACAUUGUUCAUUCUGUUUUUAUGACAACAUCUUCUUACACUGUUAAAAGUCAAGAUUCACUGUUGGAAUUUGAAGUGCAGAACAAUCCCAGUCUGGAUUCCCUUUGAUGUUUAUCUCAUGAAAUCUAUAUAAUUGGUUCAAUGAAACUCAUGAGCCAUUUUGAUUUAAAUCAACUUUGUCUUUGUGUUGAUGUAUAUGACUAUAUAUAUGAUUGUGUUCAACCUGAUCAACAUUAGACUCAGUAGGUACAUGUAUUGUCAAACAAUAAGAUUUUUUAUGUAAAUUCAUUAAUAAAGAAGGUAUAUCUGAUCUGUUCAUACAAAGUGUUAUUCAGUGUCAAAGGCAAUUUCCUCUGUAGCUGAAAUGAUUAUUGCAAUCUUGGAAUGAAUGAAAUCUUAAAUUCAGCACAC